Diorhabda carinulata is the source of this 121-nucleotide long non-coding RNA. RefSeq lists it as uncharacterized. The transcript has 2 exons. Lineage: Eukaryota; Metazoa; Arthropoda; Insecta; Coleoptera; Chrysomelidae. The record is from RefSeq and is a predicted model, not a curated record.
AUUUUGAAUUCUAUGAGUUUAAAAUUUUUACAAGCAUUAACAAAGCCAAAAAUGACCAGAAAUCUUAAUUAAUUAUUAUAUCGUUCGAUUCGAUUGAACUGUAAACUAGAGUUACGCAGCA